GUGCCAGCCGCCGCGGUAAUACGUAGGGGCGAGCGUUGUCCGGAAUUAUUGGGCGUAAAGCGCGCGCAGGCGGUUCCUUAAGUCUGAUGUGAAAGCCCACGGCUCAACCGUGGAGGGUCAUUGGAAACUGGGGACUUGAGUGCAGGAGAGGAGAGCGGAAUUCCACGUAUAGCGGUGAAAUGCGUAGAGAUGUGGAGGAACACCAGUGGCGAAGGCGGCUCUCUGGCCUGUAACUGACGCUGGAGGCGACGAAAGCGUGGGA
RNAcentral lists this ribosomal RNA (262 nucleotides) under uncultured Geobacillus sp. RNAcentral describes it as "partial 16S ribosomal RNA". It matches the Rfam family "Bacterial small subunit ribosomal RNA", at positions 505 to 766 of the family's 1533-position model. The record is from RNAcentral. Lineage: Bacteria; Bacillati; Bacillota; Bacilli; Caryophanales; Anoxybacillaceae.